This 489-nucleotide ribosomal RNA is filed under the name uncultured bacterium. RNAcentral's name for it is "partial 16S ribosomal RNA". It matches the Rfam family "Bacterial small subunit ribosomal RNA", at positions 28 to 507 of the family's 1533-position model. The record is from RNAcentral.
GAUGAACGCUCGCUACAGGCUUAACACAUGCAAGUCGAGGGGCAGCAUGAUUGAAGCUUGCUUCAAUCGAUGGCGACCGGCGCACGGGUGAGUAACACGUAUCCAACCUGCCGAUAACUCGGGGAUAGCCUUUCGAAAGAAAGAUUAAUACCCGAUAGUAUAGUAUUUCCGCAUGGUUUCACUAUUAAAGAACUUCGGUUAUCGAUGGGGAUGCGUUCCAUUAGAUAGUUGGCGGGGUAACGGCCCACCAAGUCAACGAUGGAUAGGGGUUCUGAGAGGAAGGUCCCCCACAUUGGAACUGAGACACGGUCCAAACUCCUACGGGAGGCAGCAGUGAGGAAUAUAGGUCAAUGGACGAGAGUCUGAACCAGCCAAGUAGCGUGAAGGAUGACUGCCCUAUGGGUUGUAAACUUCUUUUAGACGGGAAUAAAGUGGAGUAUGCAUACUCCUUUGUAUGUACCGUAUGAAUAAGGAUCGGCUAACUCCGUG